Molecule: ribosomal RNA, 465 nt
Filed under: uncultured bacterium
Lineage: Bacteria
Description: partial 16S ribosomal RNA
Rfam family: Bacterial small subunit ribosomal RNA
Source: RNAcentral
CCUACGGGGGGCAGCAGUAGGGAAUCUUCCACAAUGGACGAAAGUCUGAUGGAGCAACGCCGCGUGAGUGAAGAAGGGUUUCGGCUCGUAAAGCCCUGUUGGUAGUGAAGAUAGUUAGAGGUAGUAACUGGCCUUUAUUUGACGGUAAUUUCUUAGCAAGUCGCGGCUAACUACGUGCCAGCAGCCGCGGUAAUACGGAGGUGGCAAGCGUUCUCCGGAUUUAUUGGGCGUAAAGCGAGUGCAGGCGGUUCAAUAAGUCUGAUGUGAAAGCCUUCGGCUCAACCGGAGAAUUGCAUCAGAAACUGUUGAACUUGAGUACAGGAGAGGAGAGUGGAACUCCAUGUGUAGCGGUGGAAUGCGUAGAUAUAAGGAGGAACACCAGUGGCGAAGGCGACUCUCUGGUCUGCAACUGACGCUGAGGCUCGAAAGCAUGGGUAGCGAACAGGAUUAGAUACCCUAGUAGUC